This is a long non-coding RNA of Chinchilla lanigera (long-tailed chinchilla), 1515 nucleotides long. RefSeq lists it as uncharacterized. Lineage: Eukaryota; Metazoa; Chordata; Mammalia; Rodentia; Chinchillidae. The transcript is spliced from 6 exons. The record is from RefSeq and is a predicted model, not a curated record.
AGAGGCAAUAGGGCCGGGCCUUGUGAAGCUUGGGAAGCCACUGUUGAGGCCUAGUGUUUCCUUGAGUGGAGUGUUUGCCAGAGCAGUCGGGGUGGGGCAGGAGGGCCCAGCUGAGAGAAGGGUGCAGUUUGUCCCCAGACUAUUUCUUCAUCUAUGGUUGACCCUCCCCACCCUGCUUUGCUGAUGCAUCCUCUGCAGUGGGUAAAGAGCAGGAACUUUCAAUCUUGCUGUGUGACUGAUGGGGCAUCUACCAUGCCUCUGCUUGUUUAGCGUCCUUCACAGAAACCCAUGAGAAAUCUUUGGGGAUGAAAAGGGACUCCUGUCAUUGUGAUGCCGUCUGCCAGGAGCCCACCACCAGAGCCCACACAGACCAGGUCACCUGAUCUUGGACUUCCACCCCAGAACUGUGAGCUAAAUACCUUAAAAAUAUAAAAUACCCAGCCUUAUAUAUCAAAAUACAGAAAAUGGACCAAGACGAGUUUCCAUCAGAAGAGAGAGGAAACUGAAGCUCCAAGAGGGGAAAUGACCUACCCAAGGUUAUCCAGAGCCUUUGUGGACUGCAGAAAUUGGAAAACAGACCUUGGGACACUCAGGCCAUUUCUCUUUUCUAAUAAGUGAAGCUGCAGAACUCAAGCCUAAGAGCAUCUACUGAACCCCUACCAUUUUGAUGGAGCACUUCUGCUUACUCUACUGGGUAGAACUGGCUGUGAUAGUUGCAGUGAACACUGAGGAAUUUGCUCAGCUAUGGCGGGGAUUCUGUUACUGCAGAGGAAGGAGAAAACUGACUGGGAACGAUGAGCAGUCUCUUCUACAAACUCCACAAAGGACGCACAAUGAACUAUUGUCAUCUUCUAACAGAGGGACUGAAUAAGAGAGAAAGGAGAUAGCAAAUAUGACAAACUGCUAAAAGUUGGUGAAUUUGGCUAUGUGGGAGUUUCCUGUUCUUGCAACUUUUCUGUAAGGUUCAGAAAAUAAUUUGUAUACAGACACUCUGUUGGAAGCGGUAAGGUGCAGAACCUGUCACAUCUGACUGCAGAACUCACACCCACCCACCCUCCAUGGUCCUCAGCCUGCAGCCCUGGCAUCUGCAGCACCAGGAAAUUUGCUCAGAAAAUCCAGACUCUCCAUCCCAGAAACCAGGGACCAGGCCAGGUCAUGGCUGUUUUAGUGAACUCCAUCCACUCAGAUAAUUACGAUGCUUGGCAAAUUAUUAGAACCAUUGCUCGAGCCACUUCCUGCUUUUAACACUCAUAACAAGCAGGGAUUAGGACUAGGGAUAAUUAACACCACUGGAUUGCUUAGGCAACUUAAAGUCAGAAGAAUCACGUGUUUAAGGAUCAAUCAACUAGAAAGCGCUAGAGCCAGGCUUUGAACCCAGCACACCAUUGCCUACAAGCAGCCUCUACAAAGGCUCUGCCAUCCAGAAAUAGAAGACAAGGACCCUGGUGUGGGAGACUCAGAAGGAGGGUGGCAAAGGAGGAUACGUAUGAGAAAAUCAGACAAACCUGAGCUCUU